UUGCAGGUGUAUGGUUAUCGAGACAGACUAACUUAUGGCGGCAUGAAUAGUUGUGGACCAAGGUCUCUUCUUCACGCAUCAUGAUGCUGUAACAUGCGCUUCAUUAUCUUCCAACUGCUACUUUAAUAAUGCCCUGAGUUAUCAUCAACGUCGUCAUUGCGUAUGUCUUCAUGGCUAAUGGCUUCGUCUUCAGAAAAUGCCUCUGUCACAUUACACGACUUCCAUAGGAUGCCAAAUGUUAAGACAUCAUGUACAGGUGGAUGCACAACUUAACGGGAAUGGACCGGACAUUGAAGAUCAACAAUUAGAUGCCCUUUAUUCAAAACUUUAAUCUUUCUUGACUCAAGUAAUGUAACACGGUGUUAGCAUUGUGUAGCACACUUAGAACAUGGGUUAACUUAUGAACAAUUAUUACAUGCUUGUAAUUUUAAUUGCUAUCCCGUGAUUUUUAUGCCUGCAGGUGUCCCCUUGGGCAUUUUUACUUUGCCAUUUGUGAGUAGUGAUUUGGACUUUGUAAUGUAACCCCAUG
Molecule: long non-coding RNA, 529 nt
Organism: Lathyrus oleraceus (garden pea)
Lineage: Eukaryota; Viridiplantae; Streptophyta; Magnoliopsida; Fabales; Fabaceae
Exons: 3
Source: RefSeq, a predicted model, not a curated record